Molecule: non-coding RNA, 134 nt
Organism: Triticum aestivum (bread wheat)
Lineage: Eukaryota; Viridiplantae; Streptophyta; Magnoliopsida; Poales; Poaceae
Source: Rfam
CUUAUACUUCCUCCGUCCGGAAAUACUUGUUAUCAAAAUAAACAAAAAAGAUGUAUUUAGAACUAAAAUACAAUUAGAUACAUCCUUUUUUAUUCAUUUUGAUGACAAGUAUUUCCGGACGGAGGGAGUAUUAG